Molecule: ribosomal RNA, 2199 nt
Filed under: Triticum aestivum (bread wheat)
Lineage: Eukaryota; Viridiplantae; Streptophyta; Magnoliopsida; Poales; Poaceae
Description: partial small subunit ribosomal RNA
Source: RNAcentral
AUGGAUCGCCAUUCAAGUACUACACAAAGUGACCUGGAGCGCAUGCUUUGGGAUGAAAAGGUAGAACCGAAGGCCCUUCCACUAUCACUGCUGGAAGAUAUCACCAAUGGAUUUUCUGAUGAGCGGGAAAUUGGCAGAGGUGGGUUUGCAGUGGUCUAUAAGGGAAUGCUUGAGAACGGUGCGGCCAUUGCUGUGAAGAGACUAUCUAAGACAUAUAUGUAUGAGAAAGAAUUCCUCCGAGAGGUUGAAUGUCUGAUAAAGGUGAAGCACAAAAAUGUGGUACGGUUUAUUGGAUAUUGUGUUGACUCACAAGGGAGAGCAGACAGCUACAAUGGAAAAUUUGUCAUGGCAGAUGUACUACAAAGAUUGCUCUGCUUUGAGUACCUACCUCAUGGAGCUCUUGAUCAGUACAUCACUGAUGCAUCUACUGGACUUGACUGGAGAAAGCGCUACAAAAUAAUCAAUGGGGUUUGUGAGGGUUUACAUUACCUCCACCAAAAUCGAAUUAUUCACUUGGAUCUUAAACCUCAAAACAUUUUGUUGGAUGAUAAUAUGCUACCAAAAAUUGCUGAUUUUGGUCUAGCAAGGUGCUUUAAUGAAAAGCAAAGUCGCGCUUUCACAACAAAAAUAUGGGGAACGGUGGGAUAUUUGGCACCGGAAUUCAGCAACCGCGAAGUCACAUACCGUUUUGACUUAUACAGUCUUGGCGUCAUAAUCAUAGAGAUACUAACCGGAAAGAGGGGCUAUGAAGAUGUUGAGAAUAUACUUGAAAGUUGGAGUUACAGAUUGGACAAAUCAGAAAGAGACAUACAGCUGGAGCAAGUACGAGUAUGCGCUGAGAUAGGGAUAGAGUGCAUCGAGUCCAACCCAGCGAAAAGACCAGUUAGUGUGCAGCAUAUUAUCACUCGGCUCGAUGAAACAAGAAGUAUGGACAGUUCUAUCGAAGCUGCCGUGACAAGAUCAUCAAGACCACAAGUGGAAGCUGAUUCCGGCGAUCUGCAUUGUGGUGGGCUUAAGGAAAGCUCCGAGAUGAGCUCUGUCUCCGAGCUGGUGGAUGAGGUAAUGUCGGUGGCUGUUUGUGCUACGUCAUCCGACCAACUGCGGCAAAUUAGUCCACCCAAAGGACUAGAAGAGAUGGAUAACGAGGAUUUAUCAUUCUCCAGACCAUCAAGCUUUUUGUUGUAUCGAAGUCCAACUAUGCCAGUCGGACGUACUCACCAGAAGAGGCCGGAUGAGCUGGUCGCCGUGCGGCUUUUGAAAAGCAGGAGCAGUCUGCUGGAGCAUUUCACACUUGACACUCUACGGGCAGCGACGGAGGAGUUCGACGACAACUGUCGGAUCGGGUCCGGGAGAUUCGGGUCGGUAUAUCGCGGCACGCUCCCGGACGGGCGCGAGGUGGCGAUAAAACGGGCCAAGUCUUGGAACCGCGACAUCGAGAUGGCCUUCAACUCGGAGAUGAUUGCUCUGGCGCGCGCCAGCCACGAGAACAUCGUGUGCCUGCUGGGGUGCUGCUCUGAGUCCGGUGAAUGCGUGCUAGUGUACGAGCUCAUGAUCAAUGGCACCCUCUACGACCAGCUCCACAAGCGCAGUCCCAUGGCGGCGCCGGUGCUGUGGUGGCGCGGCCGCCUCACCAUCGCGCUGCACGCCGCGCGCGGCAUCGAGUACAUGCACGUCCACACCGUGCCGCCCAUCAUCCACCGCGACAUCAAGUCCGCCAACAUCCUCCUUGGCAAUUUGUGGAUCGCCAAAGUCACCAACUUGGGGCAAUCCUCUGUCCUCAAUCCCCUCGACGACAACGGUGACAACCCGCAGAAGCAGUGGGGCACGGCGGGGUACAAGGACCCGGAGUACUACCGCUUGCAGCACAUGAUGGACAAGAGUGACGUGUACAGCUUCGGGGUGGUGCUCCUGGAGCUCAUGUCCGGCUGCCAUGUCGUGCAGCGGUAUGCCGAGAGCGUGAUGCCGAAGAACAUUGUCGACUUCGCCGUGCCGCACAUCGUCGCCGACGACGUCGCGCGUGUGCUCGACCCACGUUUGCCCACGCCGACAUCUCACGAGGCCGAGGCCCUCGCCUACGUCGGCUACCUCGCCGCGGACUGCGUCGGCCCCAUCGGACACGAGCGCCCCUCCAUGACCGAGGUCGUGGACGCCCUCGAGCGCGCGGUCGCGGCCUGCUCCACGCCGCCGGUCUCCCCCUAG